Molecule: ribosomal RNA, 413 nt
Filed under: uncultured organism
Description: SSU rRNA
Rfam family: Bacterial small subunit ribosomal RNA
Source: RNAcentral
GUGCCAGCAGCCGCGGUAAGACGGAGGAGGCAAGCGUUAUCCGGAAUUAUUGGGCGUAAAGGGUACGUAGGCGGCUGGUCAAGUCUGGGGUCAAAGGCCACAGCUCAACUGUGGGAAGGCCCUGGAAACUGACCGGCUAGAGUGAGGUAGGGGUUGCGGGAAUUCCCGGUGUAGCGGUGAAAUGCGUAGAGAUCGGGAAGAACACCUGAGGCGGAAGCGCGCAACUGGGCCUCAACUGACGCUGAGGUACGAAAGCUAGGGGAGCGAAUGGGAUUAGAUACCCCAGUAGUCCUAGCCGUAAACGAUGGACACUAGACGUUGGCCGUAUCGACCCGGUCAGUGUCGGAGCUAACGCGUUAAGUGUCCCGCCUGGGGAGUACGCACGCAAGUGUGAAACUCAAAGGAAUUGACGG